This 460-nucleotide ribosomal RNA is filed under the name uncultured bacterium. RNAcentral's name for it is "partial 16S ribosomal RNA". It matches the Rfam family "Bacterial small subunit ribosomal RNA", at positions 338 to 795 of the family's 1533-position model. The record is from RNAcentral.
CCUACGGGUGGCAGCAGUGAGGAAUAUUGGUCAAUGGACGAGAGUCUGAACCCGCCAAGUAGCGUGAAGGAUGACUGCCCUAUGGGUUGUAAACUUCUUUUAUAUGGGAAUAAAAUGUUCCACGUGUGGGAUUUUGUAUGUACCAUAUGAAUAAGGAUCGGCUAACUCCGUGCCAGCAGCCGCGGUAAUACGGAGGAUCCGAGCGUUAUCCGGAUUUAUUGGGUUUAAAGGGAGCGUAGGUGGAUUGUUAAGUCAGUUGUGAAAGUUUGCGGCUCAACCGUAAAAUUGCAGUUGAAACUGGCAGUCUUGAGUACAGUAGAGGUGGGCGGAAUUCGUGGUGUAGCGGUGAAAUGCUUAGAUAUAACGAAGAACUCCGAUUGCGAAGGCAGUUCACUGGACUGCAACUGACACUGAGGCUCGAAAGUGUGGGUAUCAAACAGGAUUAGAUACCCGAGUAGUC